CAACGCCCUAAAGCCACACCCUCUCGCAGUAGAGGGAACAGGAACCUCCAACCCCAAGUGGAGUGUGCAUGGUACUGCUGUUAUACCCUGCUACGUGGAGCGACCGAUGCCAGCAGCCAAAGACAGUGGUGCUGCCUUGAACCCAUAAACAGUCUGGUGUGUAAGGAAGAAUGGAGCAAGCGAAGGUAAAUUAACAGAAGACGUACACCCCCUAGACGCUGCUGGAGAAACUGGACACCCCUAAGCCCAGAUCCACUCCCCCCCAGGAGCUCCCAACUUACCCUUCUUGGGCCUGGAAUGUCGCAGGGGACUUUCUUGCAGCCGACCCUUGUAAACUGCAUGACCAGAAGUGAUGGCCGCGUCACUUCCUGCGUGUUCGGCGGAGCCAUUAAUGGUGGCCACAUGGUACUGCCAGAGUUGAGGGAAGCACUCCGGCGACCACAGACAGCGCGGGAGCCGAGGGGGCAGCAGGGAGAGUGCCCUGAAGAACCCCAGGAGACGCAUGGGUCGCGAGCUGCCUGGGGUCUGCCACAUCCAAGCAGGUAGAGGGCAAGUUGUGGUCAGGGCCACUGGAGGCCCCGGGGUAAAGCAGAGUGAGAGUGGGAGACGGGUUGUCCUUGGCUGCCUGAGUAAAUGCAGCCAAGGCAGAGAGAGCAUAGGAGGGAAGAGGGUCAAACUGAGCAGCCAAGUGAUGCAAUGCCUAAGCUGAAGGGGGGAGGGAAGUAGGGGAUACACGAGGGUGUGAGAAAGAAGGAAGGACAGGAUGGGGAAAGUGAUGCUGAACAGCAGUAGAAGGAAGAGAAGAGACAGAUAGUGAAGAAACCUUAGAAACAGGAGGAGUGGAGACAGGCACAGAAGAAAUUAUAGCAGUUGGAGGAGUUGGAGAAAACUUCUCAAUACUCAUCUCUUGUUCUUCCAUUGCAGGGCGUCGGGAAGAAGGAGGGAUGGAGUUUCUGAACCUCUGUGGGGAUCCUACCAAGAGGCGAAACCUUUCCAGGAACCAGCAGGAAUAAAAAGGAGGGACAGGAAUUGGAGGAACCUCUUAAAAGGGAAGGGGAGGCCCCUCCCACCAUGCUGCAACAUUUACUGCCUAAACUCCAGUCCUAUUGAAAGACCCAUUAAUUACUUUUCAGGCCCACUAGGGGGCCCUCUCCAGAGCCGGACUGGCCCACCGGGAUACCGGGAAAUUUCCCGGUGGGCCGUGGCACCUGGGGCUGGGCUGACAGCCCUAAUCAGUGAUCAGGCUCCUGUAAUCCCGGCCGGCCAUGUGUGAGCUGUGUGGCCGCACAGGGCCCCAUGGAAGCAGGGGAAGCCAGGCAGCCGGCACAGCACACACAUGGCCGGCCGGGAUCAUUUAAAAAAAAAAAAAAUUGCGGUGGGGUGGAGCUAGCGUGCGGCAGGGGUGGAGCUUAGUGUGCAGCGGGGCGGAGCUUAAAAUGCGACGGGGGCCCUGGUAACUGCUGCAUGGGAAGAAGGAAGGAGUCCCUUCCUUGUCUGUAAGGAGCAUGAGCCUGUCUAUGGUGAGCAUGUGUGUACAGUGAGCUUGUCUGUAGUAAGCAUGUGUGUGAUCGUGAGCUUGUCUGUAGUGACCAUAUGUGUGUCAGUGAGCUUGUCUGUAGUAAGCAUGUGUGUGAUCGUGAGUUUGUUUGUAGUGACCAUAUGUGUGUCAGUGAGCUUGUCUGUAGUGAGCAUGUGUGUGUCAGUGAGCUUGUCUGUAGGGAGAGUGUGUGUGCAUCAGUGAGCUUGUCUGUAGUGAGCGUGUGUGUGUGACAGUGAGCUUGUCUGUAGUAAGCUUGUGUGUGUAUCAGAGUUUGUCUGUACUAAAUUUGUGUGUGCCAGUAACCUUGUCUGUGUGUGUCAUUGAGAUUGUCUGUCAAUGAGCCUAUUUGUGUGCAUCAGUAAGAUUGUCUGUGUCUGUGUGUGAGUAUGCUUUACUGUAUAAUUUAAUUACCC
RNAcentral lists this long non-coding RNA (1953 nucleotides) under Pelobates cultripes (western spadefoot toad). The record is from RNAcentral. Lineage: Eukaryota; Metazoa; Chordata; Amphibia; Anura; Pelobatidae.